GGGCUGGGUGGAACAACCACUGGGGGCUUGGGUGGCCGCGCUCCUGCUCAGGAUGGCCUUUGGCCAGCCCCGCCACUGAGAGUUGUUGUCAUUUCUUGGAGCCUGUCCCCUGGUUGGGUCGUCCUGUCCCACAGGCCACACGUGGGUCCGAGCCGCCUCCACGGGAGGGCAGCUGUUGGGGGGGUGUCUUCAGCAGCUCUGCGUCCCUGGGGCCUGCACUGGGGUAGCUGCAGUCUCCUCAGAGAAAUGUCCCCUGACCCUGGCCUGACCGCCCUUCUUUAGGCCUGGAAGGGUCAGUUUGUGCUCCUGGGGCUCAGAGACCUGGGGGGGGGCCCCAGCCAGUGCCACCGUGUUCACCUGGGGCUGCUGGAGCGGUGACAGCGCUGGGGGAAUGCACGCCCUGUAGGAGGUGACAGCUGGUCUCUCCGGGCACUUUCACUGCCCUUGGUCCCAAAGCCACGGUCCAGCUUGGCUUUUGGUGACUCCAGGGCUCACCCCGAGCAGCCCUCAGCCUCAGCCACGGGGAGGCCAGCGGAGGCCGAGGCAGUGGCUCCACGAGCCCGGGUGUCGGGAGCCUGUCCUCCGGCACCUUCCCUCCUCUGCUUCGUCCCCCGCCCGGCUGUCGCAUGUGGAACUCCUCAGGUCCCCGUGCAUGUUCUCAGGGGGGCUUUUGUAAGAUGCUGCUGCCUGGCCGCUACCCUGGAGAUGUGUCCGCGGCAGCCACGGGUAAUUUCUUUCUCUCCUUCUUUCAUUUCCUCUGGCCGCACCCACGGCAUGCGGAACUUCCCGCCCCAGGGAUGGCACCCUCCGCCAUGGCAGUGACACGAGCCAUAGUGGUGACAAUGCCAGAUCUGUAAGCCGACUUUCUCCUUUGUAAAUGUUUCUGAAAAUUCGUAAAAGUCACUUUUUAAAAAAAGCCCUCUCAAAAUGGAAAAAUAGAAAUCAUACAACGUUUAAAAAAAAAGAAAGAAACAAUCUGUUGAAACAUACAUGGCCUGAAGUUCACAUUUUGCUGGCUUUUAGGGUCUCUAGUUCUGUGGCCUCAAGCACACAUGCUGCUGUUCAGCCGGCACCACUGUCCAUCUCUUGAAUGCUGAUCUCGCACAGCUGGAUCGCUGUCCCCGGGCAGCAGGAACCCCCCCUCCUGCCACAGCCCCCCGGCAGCCACCGUUCUCCUUUCCACCUCUUCGCGUGCGGACAGCGGUAGGGCCUCGUGCCAGUGGAGCUGUAUGGUAUUUGUCCUUCAGCGUCUGACUUCUUUGGUCCAGCCUGUCUCCAGGUUCAUCCGUGGUGCAUCGUGGGUCCGAAUUUCCUGCCUUUUGAAGGGUGAGUGAUGGUCCCAUAUGCGUCUGUCCCACAUUUGUUCAUCCCUGGGUCUGCGGAUGGACCUCUGGGUUGUGCUCCUCUUUUGGCUGUCGUGGAUGCUGCUGCCGUGACGAUGGCUGUGCAAACAUCUCUUGAGGCUCUGCUUUCAGUCUUGUGUGGUUUCUCUAGUGGAAUUGCUGGCCCCUAUGUUCUUGCGUGUGUGACGUCGAGGGACCCGUGACUCUGUCUUCUGCGGCAGCUGCGCUGUGUCGCGUUGCUACCAGUGAAGCUCAGGGAUUCCAGUUUUCCCACGCUUCUCACCACGGCUUCUGUUUUCUGUUCGUGUGGGUUUUGUUUGCUUGAUGAAAACCAUCCUAAUAGCUGUGAGGCGAUGUCUCAUUAUGGUUUUGAUUUGCAUUGGAGAUGAAGCAUUUAGAUACUUCCCCAGGGGUGCCCGUGAGCACCCAGAAUUGAGAACCAGCAAGUACCCGGCCAUUGGUUAUCAGGCGCUGUCAGGCGCUGAUCUGGGUGCCCGUUACCCUCCUCGGUCAUGGGGAGACGGGAACCAUUCUCCUUUCUGCGGAGGAGAAACUCGGGCACAGAGGUGGGUGAACGCCGCACAGUUAGCAGGUGGUGGGGCAGAGUCACACCCACAUCCGUGGGCCCCAGAGCGCCUCCCUCUGGGCCUCGUUGCUCCUUAGCCCCCAGCUGACCAGGCUGCUCAGGGAACCUUCCACUCCAGGAAGCAAAAGCCUCCGGGGCACCAGGGCAGCUCCGAUUUGCAAGGGGGCCGUCCGGUCUAAAGACGAAAUCAAGAUGAAAUCUAUUCUUGAAAGGAAUGUUUUUAUUUUUAGUGAGGAGGUGUGAUUGAGAAGAGUUGUUUCAUUUUAAAUAACCGAUGGUUCUCCCGCUUCCAGCUAGUAGUUUAAUAGUUACCUUGUAAUCAUUUAUUCAAAUAAAACUCAUGCAGAGGCUGUGUUUUCAGGGGCAGCAAUCCAGAAUCCACGGCGUUUCUGUCUCUCGUAUUUCCCCAGGGCCCGGAGCAGGGCCGCGUGUGAGAGCUGGGGCAUGACAACAGUGCCCCCUCGUGGGAACUGGAAAUGCGGCCCUGGCACCUGUAGCAACUUUGUCCGAAAGCUGGGAGCAGGGAUUUCUGUUCCCAGCCCUGUCUAGGUCUGUUUUUGGUCAAGGGGCGUAAAAAGCCACUCUUUUCCAAGAGUCGUUCUUGCUGCAGGGGGACCAAAGGCAGAGUUAGGGCCCCGAGUGACAGAGACAAUGGCAGAUUCAGUCUUGCUCCCCUUGCUGACCCCAAACUGCCUCCCGGAGGGGACUUUCCACUGGAGCCCGGGCGUUGGCCGGAGGCUGGUUGGCUCCCACGCCACCCACAAAGCAGGCUGGGAACGUCUGAGCCUGGGAUUCCCGCCCCAGAGCCUUUGCUCUCAGAGGGUCUAGAAUGGGCAGAACCUCGCUGCCUCCCUUCCCUCCCUAGAGAAAUAUAACUCCCUUAUCGGAAUACAAUUCAUAUACCAAACAAUUUACACAUGUAAGUAUAUAAUCCAGUGGCUUUUCAUGUUUUCACAGAGUUGUGCAGCCAUCACCACAGUCAGUUUUAGAAUGUGCUUGGAGUUCCCGUCGUGGUUCAAUGGGUUAAAGACCCCAACAUUGUGUCCGUGAGGAUGCGAGUUCGAUCCCUGGCAUUGCUCAGUGGGUUAAGGAUCCAGCAUUGCUGAAAACUGUAGUGUAGGUCACAGAUGCGGCUCAGAUCGUGCAAUGCUGUGACUGUGGUGUAGGCUGGCAGCUGCAGCUCUGAUUCAACCCCUCACCUGGAAACUUCCAUAUGCCGUAGGUGGGGCCCUAAAAAAAAAA
Molecule: long non-coding RNA, 3171 nt
Filed under: Sus scrofa (pig)
Lineage: Eukaryota; Metazoa; Chordata; Mammalia; Artiodactyla; Suidae
Description: lncRNA (ENSSSCG00015073792.1)
Source: RNAcentral